GCCAGACAUGGUGGUGUGUGCCUGUGGUACCAGGUGGAAGCUGAGGCAGGAGGAUUGCUUGAGCCCAGGAGUUCAAGGCCCACCUGAGCAACAUAGUGAGACCCGGUCUCUU
This 112-nucleotide small RNA is filed under the name Marmota monax (woodchuck). The record is from RNAcentral. Lineage: Eukaryota; Metazoa; Chordata; Mammalia; Rodentia; Sciuridae.